Callithrix jacchus (white-tufted-ear marmoset) is the source of this 148-nucleotide unclassified non-coding RNA. It matches the Rfam family "Metazoan signal recognition particle RNA". Rfam says of the family: The signal recognition particle (SRP) is a universally conserved ribonucleoprotein. It is involved in the co-translational targeting of proteins to membranes. The record is from Ensembl. NCBI's taxonomy places the organism in Eukaryota, Metazoa, Chordata, Mammalia, Primates, Cebidae.
GCUGGGCGUGGUGGCACACACCUGUAAUCCCAGCUACUUAGGAGGCUGAGGUAGGAGACUUGCUUGAGUCCAGGAUGUUGAGGCUACAGUGAGCUACAAUCUCACCACUAUACUCCAGCCUGGGCAAUAGAGCAAAACCCUGUCUCUA